GGGGCUGCACCGGUUUCGACGUGGGUUCGGAGACGCAGCAGGGCAUGUCGAGGCUCAGUUCCCUCGUUAAUCCAGCUGAAACAAACCAACUGCGAACGACGAACGUUUCGCCCUCGCCGCUUAAUCGCGCGUGAGCCUUGCAACGGUUGGCCGAUGGGCCGGGCCAGGGUCGUAAGGUCCUGACUGCAAGGUAAUCUACAUUGGCUGGCUCCGCAUCGGGUACCUUGGUGCGGGGCGAGAAAAUAGGGUGCUGGCGGCUUCCGUAGCGUGCGACUGCGCGACGGGGGCGGCGAGAAACAAAACAGAUCGCUAAGCAUGUAGAACUGUUCGUUGAAGGCUUGCGGACGCGGGUUCAAUUCCCGCCAGCUCCACCA
Molecule: transfer-messenger RNA, 374 nt
Filed under: Burkholderiales
Lineage: Bacteria; Pseudomonadati; Pseudomonadota; Betaproteobacteria
Also listed under: 1 other name
Description: Ramlibacter sp015070875 Standard tmRNA
Rfam family: transfer-messenger RNA
About the family: Bacterial tmRNA, also known as 10Sa RNA or SsrA, is named for its dual tRNA and mRNA-like properties. Its role is to liberate the mRNA from a stalled ribosome.
Source: RNAcentral